CCAAACGCCAAAAUCAGUAUAUUUCUGUCUCCAGCAGAGCCUCCGUCGAGCAUGCCAUAUUGAUGGGCUCGCCAUCCGCCUCCUCUCGCACACCAAAACUUGGCGUGUCUCUCCCCCACACCAUCCUCCAACCGCCGGUCGCACCCAUGUGCUCCCGCCACUAUCCGGCCUCUCCGGCUUGAAGGGGAUCUCCGCCAAGCCUCCCUUCCUCGGCCCCGCCCCACUCCCCACCUCCCAGAGUACUCCGCCAGCCUCCCCUCCCGCGCUACGCACACUCGUUCAACGCCAUCCCCAAUGUGUCGAUCCUCACCAAUGCCCAGAUGAAUGGAUGAAGCGCGACAGAAAUGGGCGGAUUCAGACCCUCUGAUUUGCUAAAGACAUUGCUGCCCCAGCUAGAUCCCCUGACUGAACAGCAACUGAUUUGCAUCUCUACAACCUUCAAGAGUCAUCACAACAGGAAGCAUUAUGCGCUUUUCAGUUUCAGAAUGCUGAAAUCAUUAUGUGGAAAUCAUGCUUGAACUGAAAAUCAUGGUUCUAUCAUUUGUUUGCUGAA
Molecule: long non-coding RNA, 553 nt
Organism: Phragmites australis (common reed)
Lineage: Eukaryota; Viridiplantae; Streptophyta; Magnoliopsida; Poales; Poaceae
Exons: 3
Source: RefSeq, a predicted model, not a curated record